Solanum lycopersicum (tomato) is the source of this 2857-nucleotide long non-coding RNA. RefSeq lists it as uncharacterized. The record is from RefSeq and is a predicted model, not a curated record. Lineage: Eukaryota; Viridiplantae; Streptophyta; Magnoliopsida; Solanales; Solanaceae.
CCUUAUUUAGAGUGUUUCAAAAAAAAUCACAACCUCCUCCUAACAUUUCUAAUCUUAAAUAUGGCUUCCACUCUUUUAAAAUUAUCUUAAUCACCUCCCCACCACUACCACUACAACUACCAUUUUCCCUCAAUUCUACAACACCUUUAGACACAUCUCCUGAAGUGGAAUUAGUAUUCAAAUAAUUCUGAUGAGUUUGAGGUACUAUCUUUACCAGUUUAUCUGCAUUUAUGAUUUCUAGAAUCUUGUGACAUUGGCAUUGGCAACGGCCGUAGAAACGUCUUUCUUCUGGCUUUUAUGCUUUCUCAUGAUGUAUGCUUUUCCGGAGAAACAUGCAUCUUCUGAAUCCAUCUGAAAUGUCACAUGAAAAAAUAAAACCCAAUUUGGAAACUUAAUAUUUCUUAAAAGAGUUGAAAACAAUUUCAGAGAAGUUGAUUGAAAAAUCGAAAAAUUACGAAAAAAGGAAGAAGAGAAGAAUCAAAACUAUUACACACUUUUGUUACAUUUCAGAUGGAUUUAGCAGAUACACGUUUCUUUGGAAAAGUUUACACCUGGAGAAAUCGUAAAACACUGAAGAAAGAAAUUUUGUAUGGCCAUCGUCGCUGCCAAUAUGUCACCAAGGUUUCAAAAGCCCUAGAUGCAGAGAUUCCAGUAAUGGUAAUACCUCAAACUAAUUAGAAUGUUUUGAUUACUAAUUCCACCUCAUGAGAUGUGCCCAAAUGCGGCGUAGAAUUGAGGGAACUGGUAGUUGUAGUGGUGUGAAUUAGGUUACAAUAAGUUUAAAUGGUUCAAAGUCAAUAGGUGAGAUUAUUAAUAUUAGGAGGAGGUUAGAGGGUAAGCUAUAUCAUGUUAGGUUAAUAGUGAAGAAGAUUAGAGUUAAGGAGACUUCGAUGUAAAAUGGUAACAAAAAACGUAUUCUAGUUUUGAUUCCUCAUCAACCUAGUAUCUCUUGUAGAAAUCUACAAUGUACUAACUAUAUGAUUAAUAAAUCACCUACUCUUAAUUAAAAUCAUUGGAGUUAUAAAUUAUUUUUUGAAACACGCUGAAAAAGUUACAUCGACAGAGGCGUGACUGCUUCACUGCGAACUCUCUCUUAUAUAACAAGAGAACCUAUAGUAUGUAGUAUUAUACUAGCCCGUGUGUUUCUGAAUUUGAUUAAACUAAGAGGUCCUUUUUUUUUUGCUCUUUGGCAUGUUUAAACAUCGACGGACUUUAAUUAAUGGAAGUUUAAAUGUUGUGGUGGAAGGAUAAUUGUUGGGAAGAAUAUGAGACCUUUCUCUAGAGCUUUACCCAGCUUUGUAAUAUGGGAAUUAUGGAGAAAGAAUAACAAGAUGAAACAUAAAGGGAAGCAUCACUUGCACGAAUCACUCACAAUAUCACUAGGAACAUGUAUAUGUUGAUAAGACUAAGGAAACCCAGUAUGCCCUUUCUUAUUUAAUAGUCUGAUAUGAUGAUAGAGUGGAAAAGAUACAACUCUAAAUUGAAGAUGAUGAAUGUAUUAUCGAAAUUUCCACCAAAUGAGUGGGUGAAAUAUAAUACAGAUGGAGCCUUUAGGGAAAAUUCGUGUCGCAGUUCCUAUGCCUUUUGUUUGAGGAAUGAUAAUGGUGAUGAUAAAUAUGUUGAAUGAGAAAGCAUAGAACAUACUGCAAAUAUAGUCGCAGAAGCCAAAGCUAUACCAGAGACAUGCAAGCAUGGUUAACAUCACUAUACAAGCAAGUUAUUAUUCAAACUUACUCAAUGCUAAUGUACAAAGUGCAAGAAGGGAAGUGGGCACGUCCAUGCCUCAUUGUAGAAUUAGUGUCAUAAAUUCAAGCAUGUUUGCCAAAGAAACAAUUCAUUUCCCAUUACAUUUUAAUAGAUGGAAAUAAGUUAGCAGAUCAUUUUGCAAACAGAGCUAUUGACAAAGGGAUCUGCAAAUUCAUAAGUUGUAAUAGCAUGGAGACGGAGGUGAGGAAAAUCAUCAACAAUGAUAAACUACUAUGUUCGUACUCGAGGAUUUCACCUCUAAAUGGGAUAGGGGCAAGAACAGGCUACAACAUAGAAUUUUUCAUAAGCAACAUCAGUAGGAAACAAAAACAAGAAAAUUCUAUUUAGCUUACAUUAUUUCACCAACAAAAAGGACUCGAAAAAAUGGGGGAUAUGGAGUCGGGAAUGAAAUAGUUAAACCUACGAAAAAACAAGCAACACUCUUAAAGGGCAGUGGAAUAGAGCUAUCCUAGCACUUUGUCACAUUAACACAUGCAGAACGAUAAUGAGUAGCUUAUAGAGGAAAAGGAAAAGAAAGAAAGGAAGCGAGAGGACCUACCAAAUGAAGAGGCUUUCCUCCUUAAGACAAGAUCCGAGAGAAAAAAAAACAACAAGCACUACCCAUGGAACCUGAGAGCACAACUGAAAAAGAAAAAUGAAGUUAAAAGAAAGAAUGAAAAGCAGAAGAAUGGAAGACAAGCUCAAAUAAUAAGAUACUUACUCUUGAUAGUAAAUUUAUCAACAACCAGGAAACAAAUCAACAUCAUGUUGAUGAUCCAUAGCAAGCGGAAUUGGAGAGAUGGAUUAGUCCAAGGAGGCGAAAAUAUUUUGGUGAAGAAAUGGAAAUCAACUAAAGAGAAUGAGAAAGCGUCGAGGGGACAAAGAGAAGUGAAGAGGAACCAUUUAGAAAAUCCUGCUGUGAAAGAUAUAUAUAUUCAUCCAUGUUCAGAUUGGGUUGGGCCUUGGUGUUAUUCGUUGUCUAUUAUUUAUAUUUUUUUCAAUAAUGUGCUAGUGAGGGUUGGACUUUUCCCAUGGAAGUGUAAGGUGGUGUAAUUAUUUUGUAGUGUCAUAACUAAUAAAUCAAAAUUUGUCAAAAAUAUUAUUUCGUCAA